Molecule: long non-coding RNA, 665 nt
Organism: Bos taurus (domestic cattle)
Lineage: Eukaryota; Metazoa; Chordata; Mammalia; Artiodactyla; Bovidae
Source: Ensembl
CACGUGGUGACUUGUCCCCUCCCCCUCCUGAAAGUGGAAUGUUCUUGCCUCAAGAUUUCCAUGGACAGAGGAGACUGGCAGAGAAUCAGACACGACUGAGUGACUCACUUUUCCUUAAAGAUCCACCAAAGGAUGGUGACAGCCCUGGAACCGGACCCGCAGCACCCCCUCGGUGGCACCAUGCAGGCCCUGGUCUCCCCGGGGACCAAGGCCAUCUUCAUGGCUCUGUUCCUCUUCGCUAUCCUGCUCAUCCUCUGCGUGAUCUUGUGGUACAUUUGCCGGGACCUGUACGAUGAUUACAUCCGAAGCAGAUUUCAGAGGGCCAGGAAGGAAUUCCCAAGCAGAAGAAAGUCUCCAAGGAAGUGCCAGGGCCCUGCUCGCCUGUCUUCUCCUCCUGCCCUCAGACAUGGCUGGGAAAGGGAAGCCUGUGAUCCAGCUGACAACCAAUCAGCGGAUGCCUCACACAGGCCUUUGGAAUACCUGCCUUUUUGCUAUGUCCCUUCAGCCUGAACAGCAAGAUCCCUGGGAAUUCUGCUGCCCUGUCAUGGAUUGGAGGCUGUAGGUUUAUAUCCAAAGAACCUGCUGAUUAUGUGGCACAUCAGAGUACUCACACACCCAACAAGAAAACAUUUGGAGAAUGUGUUGAAGUUGCCCAGAAGGAUUAC